GUGCUCACUUUGGCAGCACACGCGGUAAGACUGGGGUGACAGAGACGAUUAGCAUGACCCUUGUGCAAAGAUGCCGUGCAAAUUCGCCAAGCGGUCUAUAUUCUU
Molecule: small nuclear RNA, 105 nt
Organism: Microtus ochrogaster (prairie vole)
Lineage: Eukaryota; Metazoa; Chordata; Mammalia; Rodentia; Cricetidae
Source: Ensembl